UUCUUCCCCUUCGAUCUCCAUCAAAAUCUGUGCACGAGGAGCAGAGAGAGGGGUAUAGAAAUCAUACCUGGGAUGCGUCAGCCUCGGACUUCGCCGUCGAGGUGAUCUUGGGCUCCGUCGUGGGGGUGAGACCCGUUUGUCAGUCGGGGGCCUGCUAGGCUCGGCAGGGGCCCGACCCUUCCUUCGCUUCUCCUUCGAGUCCUUGGCCUCAGUCAGAUGCCGAUCGGAAGCUCCUUCAUCCGCGCGCAUGUAUUUGUACGCGCGCUCCAGCAGUUCGACGUAUGUCCGGGGGAGGGUCUUGUCCAAAGAGUAUGUAAAUCGGAACCCCCUUAGCCCCC
RNAcentral lists this long non-coding RNA (338 nucleotides) under Elaeis guineensis (African oil palm). RNAcentral describes it as "long non-coding RNA (EGUI_LNC079184)". The record is from RNAcentral. Lineage: Eukaryota; Viridiplantae; Streptophyta; Magnoliopsida; Arecales; Arecaceae.